RNAcentral lists this ribosomal RNA (495 nucleotides) under uncultured bacterium. Its description in RNAcentral is "bacterial SSU rRNA". It matches the Rfam family "Bacterial small subunit ribosomal RNA", at positions 899 to 1397 of the family's 1533-position model. The record is from RNAcentral.
ACUCAAAGGAAUAGACGGGGGCCCGCACAAGCAGUGGAGUAUGUGGAUUAAUUCGAUGCAACGCGAAGAACCUUACCAGGUCUUGACAUCUAACUAACGAAGUAGAGAUACAUUAGGUGCCCUUAUGGGAGAGUUAAGACAGGUGGUGCAUGGUUGUCGUCAGCUCGUGUCGUGAGAUGUUGGGUUAAGUCCCGCAACGAGCGCAACCCUUAUGAUUAGUUGCUACGCAAGAGCACUCUAAUCAGACUGCCGUUGAUAAAACGGAGGAAGGUGGGGAUGACGUCAAAUCAUCAUGCCCUUUAUGACCUGGGCUUCACACGUACUACAAUGGCGACGAACAGAGGGGCGCGAAACCGCGAGGUGGAGCAAAUCCCGAAAAAUCGCCUCAGUUCAGAUUGCAGGCUGCAACUCGCCUGCAUGAAGUCGGAAUUGCUAGUAAUCGCAGAUCAGCAUGCUGCGGUGAAUACGUUCCCGGGCCUUGUACACACCGCCCGU